This 412-nucleotide ribosomal RNA is filed under the name Vibrio parahaemolyticus. RNAcentral describes it as "bacterial SSU rRNA". It matches the Rfam family "Bacterial small subunit ribosomal RNA", at positions 656 to 1067 of the family's 1533-position model. The record is from RNAcentral. Lineage: Bacteria; Pseudomonadati; Pseudomonadota; Gammaproteobacteria; Vibrionales; Vibrionaceae.
GGGGGGUAGAAUUUCAGGUGUAGCGGUGAAAUGCGUAGAGAUCUGAAGGAAUACCGGUGGCGAAGGCGGCCCCCUGGACAGAUACUGACACUCAGAUGCGAAAGCGUGGGGAGCAAACAGGAUUAGAUACCCUGGUAGUCCACGCCGUAAACGAUGUCUACUUGGAGGUUGUGGCCUUGAGCCGUGGCUUUCGGAGCUAACGCGUUAAGUAGACCGCCUGGGGAGUACGGUCGCAAGAUUAAAACUCAAAUGAAUUGACGGGGGCCCGCACAAGCGGUGGAGCAUGUGGUUUAAUUCGAUGCAACGCGAAGAACCUUACCUACUCUUGACAUCCAGAGAACUUUCCAGAGAUGGAUUGGUGCCUUCGGGAACUCUGAGACAGGUGCUGCAUGGCUGUCGUCAGCUCGUGUUG